Molossus molossus (Pallas's mastiff bat) is the source of this 290-nucleotide long non-coding RNA. RefSeq lists it as uncharacterized. NCBI's taxonomy places the organism in Eukaryota, Metazoa, Chordata, Mammalia, Chiroptera, Molossidae. The transcript is spliced from 3 exons. The record is from RefSeq and is a predicted model, not a curated record.
CUCAACCACGGAGCCACACCGCAUUGUUGUCCACAGAAAAUGGGUUGAUUCUAAGUGGAUCUCAUGUUCCUUCUCUGGCUCACACGAUGGUGGAGGUUCCAUAACCCUCAUCAGGAGAACAUGGGGCAGCUGCUGCUUGGCCUGUUCCAAUCCCGAGAGAAUGCGGGCAGUGUGCAUUUCCAGCAGAUGUCAGUGUUGACGUUUGAUGUGAUCUGGGAAGGCCUCCAAACCUAGGGCUUCGCCAUGAAGAUGAGCAGAGGGCUGUGCAGCUCCUUCGUCCUUGUGACGUG